RNAcentral lists this ribosomal RNA (252 nucleotides) under uncultured Gardnerella sp. Its description in RNAcentral is "partial 16S ribosomal RNA". It matches the Rfam family "Bacterial small subunit ribosomal RNA", at positions 110 to 355 of the family's 1533-position model. The record is from RNAcentral. Lineage: Bacteria; Bacillati; Actinomycetota; Actinomycetes; Bifidobacteriales; Bifidobacteriaceae.
GUAAUGCGUGAACCAACCUCGCCCCAUGCUCCAAGAAUAGCUCUUAGGGAAACGGGUGGUAAUGCUGGAUGCCUACCAACUUGACGUAUGUCUUGUUGGGAAAGUGUUUAGUGGCAUGGGAUGGGGUCGCGUCCUAUCAGCUUGUAGGCGGGGUAAUGGCCCACCUAGGCUUCGACGGGUAGCCGGCCUGAGAGGGCGGACGGCCACAUUGGGACUGAGAUACGGCCCAGACUCCUACGGGAGGCAGCAGCC